RNAcentral lists this small nuclear RNA (21 nucleotides) under Arabidopsis thaliana (thale cress). RNAcentral describes it as "snRNA_02674". Lineage: Eukaryota; Viridiplantae; Streptophyta; Magnoliopsida; Brassicales; Brassicaceae. The record is from RNAcentral.
GGUGGGGGCAACUGCCACCAA